Molecule: ribosomal RNA, 253 nt
Filed under: uncultured bacterium
Lineage: Bacteria
Description: partial 16S ribosomal RNA
Rfam family: Bacterial small subunit ribosomal RNA
Source: RNAcentral
UACAGAGGGUGCGAGCGUUGUCCGGAAUCACUGGGCGUAAAGGGCGCGUAGGUGGCGGCAUAAGGCCGUGGUGAAAGUCUGGGGCUCAACCCCAGAUCGGCCGCGGCGACUGUGUUGCUAGGGCACCGUAGAGGCAGAUGGAAUUCCGGGUGUAGCGGUGGAAUGCGUAGAGAUCCGGAAGAACACCGGUGGCGAAGGCGGCCUGCUGGGCGGCGACUGACGCUGAGGCGCGACAGCGUGGGGAGCAAACAGG